GUGGGGAAUCUUGCACAAUGGAGGAAACUCUGAUGCAGCGACGCCGCGUGAACGAUGAAGCCCUUCGGGGUGUAAAGUUCUUUCGACAGGGACGAUAAUGACGGUACCUGAAGAAGAAGCUGCGGCUAACUACGUGCCAGCAGCCGCGGUAAUACGUAGGCAGCGAGCGUUGUUCGGAAUUACUGGGCGUAAAGAGUGCGUAGGUGGUUGACUAAGUUUGGUGUGAAAUCUCCCGGCUUAACUGGGAGGGUGCGCCGAAAACUGGUUGGCUAGAGUGUGGGAGAGGGACGUGGAAUUCCUGGUGUAGCGGUGAAAUGCGUAGAUAUCAGGAGGAACACCUGAGGUGUAGACGGCGUCCUGGACCAUUACUGACACUGAGGCACGAAAGCGUGGGUAGCAAACAGGAUUAGAAACCCUUGUAGUCC
RNAcentral lists this ribosomal RNA (425 nucleotides) under uncultured bacterium. Its description in RNAcentral is "bacterial SSU rRNA". It matches the Rfam family "Bacterial small subunit ribosomal RNA", at positions 354 to 796 of the family's 1533-position model. The record is from RNAcentral.